CAAGAAGUUCAUCUGGUUCUCCACGCUUGUCUUCUGCUUAGACAUGCGUGGAGAACCAGAUGAACUUCUUGGUGAAAGCGGAGGUGCACUGCCAGCAGGAAACAUGGAAGGCAAUGAAUUGCCCCCACCAGCGCUUGUAUUAACAGAGAUCCCAAAGAAGUUAACGGGAUUGCCAAUCUUCGCAUCAUCAAUUAAAGAUUUCACCAGUCGACUGGUUCCUGGAAGUGACAGCCAUUGAGAGAACAAUUCCUCAGCAAUCUGA
This 262-nucleotide unclassified non-coding RNA is filed under the name Hevea brasiliensis (rubber tree). Lineage: Eukaryota; Viridiplantae; Streptophyta; Magnoliopsida; Malpighiales; Euphorbiaceae. The record is from RNAcentral.